AUUGAACGCUGGCGGCAUGCUUUACACAUGCAAGUCGAACGGCAGCGCGGGCUUCGGCCUGGCGGCGAGUGGAGAACGGGUGAGUAAUACAUCGGAACGUGCCCAGUAGUGGGGGAUAGCUCGGCGACAGCCGGAUUAAUACCGCAUACGACCUGAGGGUGAAAGCGGGGGCUCUUCGGACCUUGCGCUAUUGGAGCGGCCGAUGGCAGAUGAGCUAGGUGGUGGGGUAAAGGCCUACAGAGGCGACGAUCUGUAGCUGGUCGGAAAGGACGACCAGCCAGACGGGGAGUGAGGCAGGGCCCAGACUCCUGCGGGAGGCAGCAGUGGGGAAUUUUGGACAAGGGGCGAGAGCCUGAUCCAGCAAUGCCGCGUGAGGGAUGAAGGCCUUCGGGUUGGAAAGCACUUUUGGCGGGAACGAAAAGGACUGUGCCAAUACCACGGCUCGAUGACGGUACCUGCAGAAUAAGCACCGGCUAACUACGUG
RNAcentral lists this ribosomal RNA (484 nucleotides) under uncultured bacterium. Its description in RNAcentral is "partial 16S ribosomal RNA". It matches the Rfam family "Bacterial small subunit ribosomal RNA", at positions 29 to 507 of the family's 1533-position model. The record is from RNAcentral.